AUGGGUGAUGGCGUGCCUUUUGUAGAAUGAACCGGCGAGUUACGAUCUGAUGCAAGGUUAAGCAGCGAAUGUGGAGCCGUAGCGAAAGCGAGUCUGAAUAGGGCGUUGAGUAGUUGGUCGUAGACCCGAAACCAGGUGAUCUACCCUUGGUCAGGUUGAAGUUCAGGUAACACUGAAUGGAGGACCGAACCGACUUACGUUGAAAAGUGAGCGGAUGAACUGAGGGUAGCGGAGAAAUUC
This 240-nucleotide ribosomal RNA is filed under the name Staphylococcus capitis. RNAcentral describes it as "partial 23S ribosomal RNA". It matches the Rfam family "Bacterial large subunit ribosomal RNA", at positions 589 to 829 of the family's 2925-position model. The record is from RNAcentral. Lineage: Bacteria; Bacillati; Bacillota; Bacilli; Caryophanales; Staphylococcaceae.